This is a long non-coding RNA of Ruditapes philippinarum (Manila clam), 1469 nucleotides long. RefSeq lists it as uncharacterized. The record is from RefSeq and is a predicted model, not a curated record. The transcript is spliced from 3 exons. NCBI's taxonomy places the organism in Eukaryota, Metazoa, Mollusca, Bivalvia, Venerida, Veneridae.
CGCAAAGCUGCUGUUAAACGGGUAAAUAGACGUGAUGUCAUUUCAAAAUUACUGUAUACAUGCGGGUUGUUUCUUCAAGACAUGGGUUUAAUCCAGUAAACUACUUGUAAGCAAGAUAAACAGGUACAGAAUAUGAAAGAGAAGACUGGUGAUGAUAACAAGACAAAAAAAGAAAAUAUGUUGUUGUUGUCAAGAAGAUUUUUUCCUGUUCCUCGCAGAAGGGCAGAAACAUACUUGGAUGGAAAAUGUGCAUAAUUUUUGCAUAAGUUUUGUUGACACUUCCAAUUGAUAAUGAAGAAUGCUGCGAAAUAUUGUUUGUUACAAUAUCUGAAUGACUGUAAGAUAUGUUGAGUGAUUGGUAUUCACACAGGUGCUGUUUUAGUGCAAAACAAUACAAGCAAAUGUUGAAUGAACAAACAAGAUUGUGCCAUACCAUAAGGGAGCAGUAUGUUCAGGAUAUUCUAUUUGUAUAAACCCAACGCAACUACAGAUGUAAUGUGGAUAUAUACUAGAAUCAGAUUGUCUGUCUGUCUGUUUGUCUACCCAUUGGAGAUAUUGAAUUAACUUAAUAGAUAGAUCAUGUAUGUUAUUGUUGUGGAAUGUAGUUCCUAGCAACUAUAUCUCUAUUGCCUGUUGCAAUUUGGAAAGAAGAUUGUGUUUAAUAGAUGAAACUGGCUAGGUGUUACUAUUUCAGCAUUUUAAGUAUGAUGUUAGAUCAUAUUACAUGUACGUCAAUUUUUAUAUGCCCAUUUGAAAAACAAGACAUACAAUGGGAACCUCAGGUUGGCAGGCAUUGUCAAAUUAUGUAAGCAUUAUAUUUUGGAUGUCACAAACCAAAAUCAAGGAGUAAAUGACUUCCAAACUUCCACUAACAGAAGCCCUGCCCAUGCAGGGUUUUAAUGAAACUAUCACCUGAUUAAAGGUCAAGGUCACACUUAGAGAUCAUUGAUAAAUGCUUGUUAGGAGCAAAACGUGUGUCAAUAUCACUUCCCAAAUUAAUGUUCAACAUUGUUAGGCGUAGCAUCACAUGCUAAAGGUCAAGGUCACAUACAGAGGUUAAAGUUCAGAUAGAAGUAGGAACCAUUAAGUCAUCAUUUGUUGAGGGAUUGUAACACAUAUGGUCAUUAUUAUGACUAUGCCUGUGACACAGUCAUGUAUGCAAAUUUGUUCAUUUAUAAUAUGCAAGGUCUUGAAGGCCAGUAAAGAUAAUGAAAUAUCCAGAUUUUCUCUGGAGCAUCUAAAUUCUUCUACAUGCAUGGAAAAAUUUCUUUUCAUUUAUGAAAUGAAAUUUAAAACAAACAUUUUGUUCGAUCAAUCGAACAAAAUAUAUAUUUGUUCGAUCGAUCGAACAAAAUGUUUAAUUGUUUUGUACAGCUUGAGAGAGAAUUUUUCCAAUACAGUGUUUUUGAACAGUUUUGUUCGAUCGAUCGAACAAAAUGUUUAUUUUAAUUUUUCAUUUAUUUAACCUG